Molecule: long non-coding RNA, 8403 nt
Filed under: Populus trichocarpa (black cottonwood)
Lineage: Eukaryota; Viridiplantae; Streptophyta; Magnoliopsida; Malpighiales; Salicaceae
Description: long non-coding RNA (PTRI_LNC003758)
Source: RNAcentral
GAACCUGUCAUUUGAAACCAGCCGAUGACAAAGACACAAGAGAAACAAAAGAUUAAAAAGAAAAACCAAUAUUAUACCCUAACUCUUUUUAAGAAAAUGUAUGGUCUCUGGCUAAUUAAGAUUUGAGUGUGGGCAUUUUGGGUUGAGGAGGGGAACCUACAGGCUACAGGAUUUCACUCGGAGGGAGUUCAAGGACUCGGAAAGAUAAAAUGGGCUGACUGGAGCAGAAAAGGCCAUUUUCUUCAUGACAACCGAAGCAGCCAAUUUAAACUUCAAAGGGAUAAUGAAAGGUCACGUGCAUGCUGAAAUCAAUCAUCUUAUUAUCUCCUUUGAGCUACAGCUACACUGCCUUUUUAUUUGCUCCUCCCUAUAUAUGGCCAUCUGUGGCGGACCCCGAGGCGUUUCUCGGUCUCUGAACUCUUUUCUCGAGGCUGCCUCGAUUGGUCUACUGCCAUUACCGAAGAAGUCCGCGCGCACCCUUCUCCGCCUAAUUCUGUCCAAAGUCUCUGAUGAUGGAGCCAAGAAGGUGGACUUGAAUUAUUUCUUCACAAUCACCUCUCUCAAUGUAAUUAUGAAGAUGAAUGCUGGAAAGAAGCGGGUUGAAGAGGAGAAGGCUGCCUGUAUCGAUUCUGAAAAGCAGUGUAUUGAGGAUGUCUAAAAGAUAUUCCCUUCAAAUCCAGGGACCAGCUUGUUGGAUUUUUUUCCAAUUUUGAAAUGGAUUGGGUACAACGGGGAUAUUGAGGAGAGUACUGUGAUAAAGAGAGGGAUGAAUUCUUGCAGGGCUUGAUAGAAGAGGUGAAACGAAAAGAAACAAGUUCAGAGAUACAAGUAACACUGAAGAAGUGAAGGAUCAGACAACUGUGAUUGGAAAGUCUAUAUUGGCCCUCCAAAAAUCAGACCCUGAAUUGUUUACGGAUGUAGUUGUCAAGGGUACCGCAAUUCAGACGAUUGAUUUUCAUCUGUUUUUGGGUGUUUUUGGGUUUUGGUUCUUACAAAUUACAAACUUGUUUUCAACAAUUGUUUUACAAAAAGAAAGUUGAGUACAUACUGAUCUUUACAAAAUAUUAAUAAUAAUAAUUGUCUUUGACUAAUGAUGGAUAGUCGAACCUCUAAAAUAUAAUUCUUAAUUAAUUAUCACAAACAAAAUAAAUUUAUAGUAUGAUCGUGAAAUUUAGGUUGAACCUAAGAUAAAUUUCGUUUAAUUUUUCUACAUUAAUAUACUAAAAUAAAAAGGAACAGGGGAUUCAAAUAAAAAAUUAAAGAAAUAAAAUUCUGAAAAUAAAAAAAAAUUGAUAUGUUGUUAACUCAGUUUAAGGGUCCACAUAUUCAUUUAUAUAAACCUGUUGAUCAUCGAAGUAAAAUAAAUAUUCUUUUACAUCAAGCAAAUAAAUUUGAUAUCCCUUAAAGCUGAGGAAAAUCGAUGAGAUUACAAAUAAAUUAAUUAGACAAAGCUCUCUAAUUAAUUUCUUACCAUCAAGCGAAUUUAACAUUGAAAGCAAUUCUCAUUCACUCAGCAGUAGUCUUAGGAGUAAAGUCUGUGUAUUUAUUCUAAACAAACGUUUAAAAGCUUGAUAAUUUAACUUAGUUUAUUCUUCCUAAUAAAUCAAGAUAAGAGUUACAACAAUCAAAUUAAUUCUUUUGCCUUUUACUCUAGUCCCUAACAACAAUUACGGAUUGAAAGAAACUAGAAAGCAUACAUGUCAUCUCAAAAUAAUUCAAUAUACUUGAAUAACAAUCAAUAACAUAAUUUUGAACAAAGAAAAAUAAAUACUUGAAUUAAUCUGAAAGAAUUACAAUAAUAAUGUUACUUUUCACAACUUGCUAAUGAAAAUGAUUUGUAUUUCUCUUGAACCGAAAUUAGGAAUUAGUUCAUAUUUGCUGGAAAAUUGACAAAUACAAAGAAGAAAAGAAUGUUAUAGAGCCCAUGUUUUAGUUGUGUUCUGCUUUAUUUAUUCUCUUUUUUGGCUGCUGAUUUUCUUCAGAUUUCCUAAGCUAAUUAUAAGUCCUUAUAAUACUUAACUCCUUCCUACUUUAUCUAGUGCUUAAGGUUGGUUAAAUCCCUUAGAAUUUGUGUUGAAAAUAGACUCUACAAUUGUCACAACUUUGCUAUAAUAUUAACUCUGCUACAACUUAGACUUUGUUUCUGACUUGGUUUUUUGCAAUAUCCGACUAUCUAAGAUGUAUUAUUUCAGUCAUGGCAUGUUAGAAGCUUUACCUGAACCUUUCUUGGGUUCUAAGGCCCACCGUUUCUAUGUCAGAAUUUUAGCCAUAGUAAGAUGCUCGGCACUGUUAGUUUCCUCAUCAGAUCAAGAGACCAAUCUCGUCCUUCAGAUUGCGUCUGGAUUUUCACCUUCCAAACAAUUUUAUAUGACCUGAAAUCCUUCAUAAAAGUUGUAUUCCUAGAUGUGUAGAUGAUUUUGAGUUUUUGAAUCGCAUGAUUUCAAUGUCUGAGGCUAAAGAUAUAUAUGCCCAUUUGAAUCUAUAAUGUGAAAACAGAGAAUCCUGAUGCAAGAAGGAUUUCAACUCGAUUUUGCAGGUUUGAUUGGAAUUCCAAAUGAACCCGGAUUUCUGCCCAUAAAACCUUUCUGAAAAGCUUGAUAUGUGUACUUUAACUUUGAUUCAGUCCACUUUCAUAUUCUGAAAUUAAAACUCUGUGAAAAACCUAUCACAAGAAGCAAAGUCUGAAACAUAAAAAGCAGAAAUUCUUAUUUUUUAGCAAUUAAUUCACAAAGACUCUUAGGCAUGCCAAACUCAUAAAAAGAGAUACAGUAGAUUUCACUAUAGAAUGGGCAAUGUCAUUUCUGCUGAACCAUCCAGAGAGAUUUUCACCGCAAUGCCAAACACGUCAGAAGGGUCAUCGAUGGUUAUGGUUUUAAUAAAGAUGAAGUUAUCAAGGAGCAAACUAUAAUUCGAGACCAAAAGAUGCAUAACAUCAUUGAGAUUUCAUAUAAUGUUUUUUUCUGACAGACAUGGAGUUCAUUUUUUGUUUUUCUCACUACAUUCUGUAUCAAUAUAACCUGUAAAAGGGAAUGGGAAGAAACAAAUUUAAUCAGAAGAUGAAGAUAAUUUCAAUUCCUAAAGGUGGGGCAGAGCUAGAGAAAUGGAGAAGAUGCAUGGAGGAACAACUUUAAAUCCUAGAUAUUGCUUAUCAAGGAAAAAACAUACACCAGUAAUUACUUUGUGGCUGGUAGCUUGGACUGAUGGAUGGAUGGAUGCUGGAUAUAUAGUGACUGCUUGGUUGGAGUGGUUGAUAGAGAUGAACAGUGCUCGUUUGGGUCAUUUGUUAUUACUAGUCGGUGUUGAAACCAUAUUAUAAAAUGAUUUUGAAUAACAUAAUAAAUACGAAGAACACUUAAGAUGUAGGAGUGUGAUGAAUUUAUGAAAUGAGAAGCAAUGUAUAUGACUCUUCGCUGUUUUAUCUGGUACAAGUUAUGUUGUAUACGUACAGUUGGUAGACAUGUAUUUUCUUAAUUGAUUAAUGAGGAUUUAAGUUAUUGCUAAUAAAUAUUUUAUUUGAUAUAAAAUUUGGAAGCUAUUAAAUUGGAGCAACUUUUGUCUGCUAAAAAUGACAAUACUUACCUACUAGCCCCGUGUCGUGGCUCGAACUAAAUUCUUUGUCUGUCAACUUAAAAAAAAUACAAAUAUUGGUGAUGUUUUUUUUUUUUAAAAAAAAUCUGAUGCUGACCUCAAUUUGAUUGAUUAUCUAAUAAAAAAUAUCUUAUACCAAAAGACACAAUGAAAACCUUAAUACCUAAAAUUAUAGCUCGAAAAUGACAAAGAAAAUUCAGGAAUUAUUAACACCAACUAUUUAUAUAAAGGUUAAAAGUGAUCUAAUCAAAAUAAACACAAAUUUAAACAUGAAUUAUUCGAUGAAAUUUAUACACAAUCCAACAAUUAAAUCUAAAAUAAUAAUUGUUUUUAUCAGGAUUUGAUAUGUAUAACUUUUUCUUAAAUUUUUUUUAAAAUUUUUAUCUGAUCUAUCUGAGCUACACACACAACACAUUCCAUAUCAAAAUAGAAGAAGCAAUGGUACCUUAAUAUUCAAAUAACUACAAGAAUAUGUUUGCAGAAAAUCGAAACCAAAAAAUAUCUUGUAUCUUUACUCUUACAAUCGAUGGAGAAAAGGGCAAGCUUGUAUGAUGUAGAAGAAAGCACAAUAAGGAUAACAAUACACGUAGAACGAUAGAUAGUUGGUCGACAUAGGUUUAUCACAAUAAAACCCUAAAUAGUAAUUUUAUUUUUGAAAUAAACUCUAUUAAGUUCACAUUUUUAAGAGAUUUAGAAUCUUUUAAAUAGGUUAGAAAUAUCAACCUUAACAUAAAAAUAAAAUUAUAAUCCUAAAGCAAAACAAAAACAUAUAAAAUCUAUAAUUAUAUAAAUCUAGAAAUUAUCAAGAAAAAAUAACAAAAUUAGCUUAAACAACUUCUCUAUAACCUAAUUUGAGGUCUUCCAGGUGGAAGCUGGGUGGGAGCUGGUACAAGUCUACUGAUCUCACUAUAUAACUAAGCCACAAAAAAUCAUCCAAAAAUAUUUGUAUUAAUUCAAUAGUCAAAUCAAAAGUUAUCAUGUUUUAUUGCUAGGCUGUUGAUUUGACAUGACUAGACUUACUUUAAAUAUAUAUAUACCAGACUAUUUAUAUAAUCUGUUGGUAGUAUAUAUACUAGACUAUCAUUAUAUUAUGAGGUUUUUAUUUAAUUUAUCUUUUAAUAUUAGGUUGAGUUUUUUCUUUCUUUCGGUUUUUUUUGCCUUUUAUUUUUUCUUAAAAAAAUCUUUUGUUUUUUUUUUAAUUUUAUAAUUUAAUAUGGGGUUCUUAUUUAAUUUUAUCUUUUAGUAUUGAGUUGAUGAUAAAUUAAAUUUUUUAUAUUUUUUUUAUCAUAUAAUAAAAUAAAAAAAUUAAUUCGAGCUAAUGUAGUUCAUAACCAGAUCAUGAGUUUAGCAAGUUAACUAAGAUUAACAUAACCUUUUUUUUUUGUCACUUGAAUUUGGCUAGUCGAUAAGUUUAUGUUGAGAAAACUCCCAUGUAAUUUAGUUUUAAACUCAGUUUAGAUAAGGAGUCGGAUUAAGAGGUUUUAAGGCCGCGUUUAAUAACUAUAAAAAAAUAAUUUUAUGUGUUCUUAACAUUUGUUUGAUAUAAUUUAUUGGCACAAUUGUUCAAUUUUCUUGCCCAAAGAUUUUUUUUUAAUUAACAUGGGUGUCCAGGCCAGCUUGUGCGCACCUCGACUAAUCUCAUUGGUCCUAAAGUUAACGAUCAUGUAAGUCUCCAAUGAUUAUCAUAUUAGCAACCCUGUGGUUUGAAAAGACUUAAUAAGUCUAUUGAUUGUUGUUGCACCAGAUAUCAUGUUUGACUUCAAAAUUGACUUGAUUUAUGUUUUAGUGCCCCUUAACACCCUCCCACUCUCUAUUUUAUUUCUUAAUAAAUUAAAAAAUAAUUACUCUAGUUUUUAUAAGAAUCUGAAAUCCUGCCCUUGCUCCUAAAAAAACUAAAAAGAAAAGAAAAGAAAAAGGCUCAGGUGAUGAUCCUGAUCAUCGACCAAGAACCUGUCAUUUGAAACCAGACGAUGACAGAUACGAGAAAGUACAAAAGAUUAAAAAGAAAAACCAAUAUUAUACCCUAACUAUUUUUCCGAAAAUGUAUGGUCUCUGGCUAAUUAAGAUUUGAGUGUGGGCAUUUUGGGUUGAGGAAGGGAACCUACAGGCUACAGGAUUUCACUCGGAGGGAGUUCAAGGACUCGAUCGGAAAGAUAAAAUGGGCUGACUGGAGCAGAAAAGGGAAAAGAAUCUCCUCAAAACGCUACCCAUCUGACCAGUAGGUUUUUUCCAAGAAAUUAACAGCUCAGUCCGGCAAGCUAUGGCCCGCAACAGAUGGUCAGUAAGCUUCUUUCUUCGUGUUCAAUCUAUGACGAUCCAUAGGAUGCCAAUUACCGUACGUGAUCAGUGGGAAGAGUUUUUAUGCUGCUCAAGAGUCCUGAACUCGGGAUUAUAGCUGGUGGGUGAAUGUGAAGUUGUCUUUGAUGCAGCUGGCAAGUCCAAAUGCGCACUUGGUAGAAGAGUCCGAUGUGUCAUUGAUGAGACCCUUCGUUCGUAUCCUCUCCAUCACCACUUUUGCUGCCUCAUGCUCCUCCUGGAGACUGUAUCCAUGUUUUUAACCCACGGAUAAGAGGAUUCUUUGCAAUCAACUUUAAAUCCUAGAUAAUAUUGCUUAUCAAGGAAAAAAAACAUACACCAUUAAUAAUUACUUUGUGGCUGGUAGCUUGGACUGAUGGAUGGAUAUAUAAUGACUUCUGGGUUGGAAUGGUUGGUAGAGAUGGAACAGUGCUCAUGUUGGUGUUGAAACCAUAAUGUAAAUGAUUUUGAAUACCAUAAUAAAUACAAAGAAAUUUUGAGAGUGUUUGAAAACGCGGGCCAACCCGUGUUUUUAAAAAAAUUAAUUUUUUUUUAUUUUCUUAAAAAUUAUUUUUUUAUGUUUUAGAUCGUUUUGAUGCGUUGAUCUUAAAAAUAAUUUUUUAAAAAAAAAAAUAUCAUUUGAUGUAUUUUAACAUGAAAAGUAUUUUAAAAAGUAACUGCAAUCACACUCUCAAACAAACCCUUAGAUGAAGGAAUGUAUCUUUUCUCUUGUUGGUUUCUUAUAAUUUAAAUUGUCGGACGGAUGGGACAUUAAGCAAUCAUAUAAUUAUCACUAAAUGAUAUGAUACUAAUCAGUCCUUAAUUGUUAAACUCAUAUAAUUAUCACUUUGAUCAACCAUAAAUUAUGUCUAUUUUAUAAUUUAUUUUCUAACAGGAGUUAAUUAUCAAGAUUUAUUUUUCAAUUAAUUAAGGUAUUUUCCCCCCUCACUUGUAGCUUGAAGUACUCUGAACUCUAGUGGCUAAAGAAGGAAUACACCAUCCUAACUAUUACACCAAUACCUCAAGUAAACUAUUCAAGGAAUUUGAUUACUUUUUCAUUAUAAUUUAAUUUCUCCUUCUAAUCUAUUGUAAUUACUUUAUUUAACUAUAUAUUGCUUUGGUGUUCGGAAUCCAUCCUUGUUUUCUACAUAAAUUUUUCACUCUCAGUUUCUUACAAUUUAUUAACUUAGUAUACCUUAUCAAGUGUAAUUGUCAUUAAUUACAAUUCUGGCAUUAAUUAAUUGACAUUAAUUAAUCAUUUAAAAAUUAUUGCAUUAAAUCAUGGCUUAUUAAUUAACGAAUUAUCUUCAGGGCUCGUGAGAUUAGUCGAGAUGCGUGUAAGUUGGUCCGGACACCCAUAUUAAUUAAAAAAAAAUUAACAAAUUAUAACACAUUUGUUCCUUUUUCAAUGAUGAAACAAUAUAUCCAUCAAUUUUUUUUUUUUAAUUCUUUGCACGUGAAAUAACCUUUCAAUCAUCUUCGCCAUUAUUAAUUCGUUAAUUUAAUAAACACAAAUUUUCAUUAUUUCCAUUUUAUUUUCUUGAGCAAUUCUCAUUUGAUUUCACAAUUGAGACCACCUGCCAGUCUUUGAGUUGGAAUCUGGCAGUUGUGACUUCUUACUGUCAUCGUCAAAUGCAUCAAGAAAACAAUUUUAAAAAUAUUAUUUAGAUGUAACCAUGUAAAAAUUAAAAAUCUCUUCCCUUGUCUCGUAUCUAUCUAUUUAAACCUUGUUCUCCACCCACAGCAACCCACCAUGCUUACAAAGAAUUUGUACUUCACCAUGAACUACAUGUACUACUGCCUUGCUUUCUUCCUCUCUAGCUUUCUUGUAUUCAAACUUGUAUUCCAACGUUCCCGCAACUUACCACCAAGUCCUUUCGGUUUUCCGAUCAUAGGCCAUCUCCACCUUGUCUCGAAGCCACCAAUGCAUAAAGUGCUAGCAAUUCUUUCAAAUAAAUGCGGUCCAGUUUUUACUCUUAAAUUAGGCAGCAGGAACAUUGUUGCUGUUUGUUCUUUAUCAGCUGCUGAAGAAUGUUACAUCAAGAAUGAUAUAGUUUUUGCCAACAGGCCUCAGAGCAUAUUUGUCCAUUAUUGGAGCUACAACUACGCUGCCUUUUUAUUUGCUCCGUAUGGCCAUCUCUGGCGGACCCUGAGGCGUUUCUCGGUCACUGAACUGUUUUCUCGAAGCUGCCUCGAUCGGUCUGCUGCCAUUAGCGAAGAAGUCCGCACCCUUGUCCGCCUGAUUCUGUCCAAAGUCUCUGAUGAUGGAGCCAAGAAGGUGGACUUGAACUAUUUCUUCACAAUCACCUCUCUCAAUGUAAUUAUGAAGAUGAAUGCUGGAAAGAAGUGGGUGGAAGAGGAGAAAGCUGCCUGUAUCGAUUCAGGAAAGCAGUGUAUUGAGGAUGUCCAAAAGAUAUUCCCUUCAAAUCCAGGCACCACCGUGUUGGAUUUUUUUCCAUUUUUGAAAUGGUUUGGGUACAGGGGGGAGGAGGAGAGUGUGAUAAAGGUGUACAAAGAGAG